UAGCCUACGGGACGCAGCAGUGGGGAAUAUUGCACAAUGGGGGGAACCCUGAUGCAGCGACGCCGCGUGAGUGAAGAAGUAUUUCGGUAUGUAAAGCUCUAUCAGCAGGGAAGAUAAUGACGGUACCCCUUUAGGAAGCCACGGCUAACUACGUGCCAGCAGCCGCGGUAAUACGUAGGUGGCGAGCGUUGUCCGGAAUUACUGGGUGUAACGGGAGUGUAGGCGGGGAAGCAAGUUAGAUGUGAAAACUAUGGGCUUA
Molecule: ribosomal RNA, 259 nt
Filed under: uncultured bacterium
Lineage: Bacteria
Description: partial 16S ribosomal RNA
Rfam family: Bacterial small subunit ribosomal RNA
Source: RNAcentral